This 24-nucleotide non-coding RNA is filed under the name Arabidopsis thaliana (thale cress). Lineage: Eukaryota; Viridiplantae; Streptophyta; Magnoliopsida; Brassicales; Brassicaceae. The record is from RNAcentral.
ACUAUUAUAUCUCAGUUUUACCAU